UUGUCGUUUAGAGAAGUUUGAUAGCUGUGUUCUGCUUUUCUCUAGGUGGUUGAGUAUGAUGGUUUUGUAAAGUACCUUUGUUGUUCAUGGGGCAUAUCACAUGGAUUUAGCUUUAAUGUGAGCCAUCUCAACAUGGCAUUGUGCUUUCUAUGUGCAGGAACUUGGUACAGAUAUGAACCUUUAUGUGUUGGUGUUUGGAGAAUUUGUUCUAAAUGAUGCAGUAUGCGUUUAUACCUCCCAUCUUCAAAGUCUUUAAUAUUUCUAUCCUUUUUUUUUGCCUAUCUUUUGGAAGUUUUCAUUUGAUGAUGGUAUUUGUUAAGUGAUGCAGUGAAGAGAAAAUGAGAAGGCUACCUGUGGGGGCCAGAAGUUAACAUACACCCAGCAGUUUCCUCCUGAGUUGGAGCAGGUGGAAGAUGGUGGAUGUUGGCAACAGGAAUGCCCUCCUAAUAACUAAUUUAAGGAUGAGUUGCUACGCUACCAAAGAGCAUGAAGACAUUGGGAUAUGAAAUAAUUAACGAAGGUAAUGAAAACAUUUUACUUUCGAACUUUGCCUGCUAUUUAUUCUGCUUACAAUAAUUGUACCUUGCAUUAGGCAACAAAUAGGCCAAAUUAGUCUGUGGGCUUCGGCUCCUGACCUGAA
Long non-coding RNA from Magnolia sinica, 640 nucleotides. RefSeq lists it as uncharacterized. The record is from RefSeq and is a predicted model, not a curated record. The transcript has 3 exons. NCBI's taxonomy places the organism in Eukaryota, Viridiplantae, Streptophyta, Magnoliopsida, Magnoliales, Magnoliaceae.